AUACGUAGGGGGCGAGCGUUAUCCGGAUUUAUUGGGCGUAAAGCGUGUGUAGGCGGUUUAUUAAGUUUAAGAUUAAAGCCCCGAGGCUCAACCUCGGUUCGUCUUAAAAACUGAUAGACUUGAGUGUGGUAGAGGCAAGUGGAAUUUCUAGUGUAGCGGUUAAAUGCGUAGAUAUUAGAAGGAACACCAGUGGCGAAGGCGGCUUGCUGGGCCAUUACUGACGCUGAUGCACGAAAGCGUGGGGAGC
Molecule: ribosomal RNA, 247 nt
Filed under: uncultured bacterium
Lineage: Bacteria
Description: partial 16S ribosomal RNA
Rfam family: Bacterial small subunit ribosomal RNA
Source: RNAcentral